Long non-coding RNA from Pezoporus flaviventris, 1087 nucleotides. RefSeq lists it as uncharacterized. NCBI's taxonomy places the organism in Eukaryota, Metazoa, Chordata, Aves, Psittaciformes, Psittacidae. The record is from RefSeq and is a predicted model, not a curated record. The transcript has 2 exons.
UGGAUUGUUUUCAGUAUUAAUAUGUUGGUAGAUGAGCAGUUUUCUUUACCAGCCCUGCACUCUUGCAGUUACUUUGAAUGGUCCUGCUCUGUUCAGCACAUUAAGACAUGGUGUGAUUUCAAGCUCUUGCCUGAAAAGGCAGCUGACAGCAGCAGCUGGUCAAGACUUGGUUCAUCAUUUGACUGCAGAAUAAAACCCAACAAAAUCUGUCUGAUUCCUUCCCUUUCUCUCAGGAUCUGGGCUGUUCCUACUGGUAGCUUUGUAGAACUGGUUAACCACCUCCCCUCUCAAACCUACUUCCUGUAAAGUGAAGUCUUCAAUUUAAAAACUAUCGGCAUAUAUAAGAAUUAAGAUGCUUUCAGAAGAAUCCACCUCAUGCUACAAAGACGACUUAAGGGGAUGGUACCUAUUGGUGGUGCUCUCCUCAGUGGAGGGUAUAAAGGUUGGUUGUGGCAGUUUGUGUAUGUAGCGCUUUAAUUUCUUUACCUGUAUUGCAAAUUCAUUUAUUAAAGAAAAACAUCUGGUAAGAGUUACAUGAAAUCAAGUUCCACAUGAUUCAUCCCUAUGUGCUGUAUCUAUUUUACUGUGUGAAGAGGCAGCAGUGAUCUCAGGUGAAGUAGUUUGGGUUGGUUUUUUUGCCCAAAAUGCCCUUUUUUGUGUGUGUGACUACAGACCUUUAUGGUACUUUAUUACUGCUUUUUCCACUCAAGAGAAAUAUUCAGCCAGCUGCAGUGGGAUGGGAUGGGGCAGAGCCUUCCCAAAGGAAGUGAGGAGUUACUUACCUGCAUUCAGUUAUUAGUAAAACAGUGCUGGUCCUACAGACUGUUAAUAUCGGUGUAAGGUGUCUCUAGAAUAGAGCUAUGGGGCCUCUUCUAGGGAGCAGUGUAGCCUUUCUUCCUCUCCUGUGUUGCAAGGAGGAGUAUGAUGAGAUCAGUAGAAGAAUGGAAUCUUCAGCUUUUUUUAUGCAGGUGCCUUCUACGGGAAGAAAUCCAGCAGUCAUUACAAGGACUGAGUGUAUCUCUAAAAUGAGCUUUGCAAACUGUUGUAAUAAAGGUCAGCAAAUGGCACUUCUGGCUAAAGUGACAAA